RNAcentral lists this long non-coding RNA (652 nucleotides) under Homo sapiens (human). Its description in RNAcentral is "HSALNT0272376". The record is from RNAcentral. Lineage: Eukaryota; Metazoa; Chordata; Mammalia; Primates; Hominidae.
CAGAGUUGUGCGCCUGCAUUCCAAACCCUGCUAAGUCAUGCUGCACCAGGCAGCCACCUCAGACUACUACUGAGUAAAGCACAGCCAUUUCCUUCACAGUGCUGGAGGAAGGGAGGUGCAGCUUUGGCUCAGCUCUUAACAGUGCAACAUCUAGUGCCUCUAUAGUUCUCUUGGACACAGAUGGCUGCUUUCGAAGAAGAAAGAAGUGGAAAGUGAUGGAGUUUCUAUGCUCCAGCUCUCUUUGCCUGCUGCCAUCCACGUAAGAUGUGACUUGCUCCUCUUUGCCUUCUGCCAUAAUUGUGAGCCCCCCUCAGCCAUGUGGAAUGAUGGAAAACAGAACAAGCCAUGGAGGCCCCAGGGAUCAGGCAGGGCCAAGAGGAUCUGAUGGCGGAAGGGGGAGCACAUCAACAAGACCUUACAAGGCAACUUGCAUGGAUGCUCUGAAGCAACUUUGAGGUCUCCUUGAUGAGGAAAGUUGGCUCAACCUGCUGUAGAGUAGGCCCACAGCCAAGCCAUUGAGAGACAAGUCCAUGGGAGACAAAUUAGCUCAUGCAGCUGAGAUGUCCUGGAGAUUUUCCACAGCACCACUUGGCCAGUGCCUAGACAAGUAACUACCUUGAUAAUCACUAUAUAUUUUCCAAGAGAAAUAAAA